CGCUGCGAUUAAUUCACGCUGUUCCCUUGUCGAUUUAUUCGCGCCGCUACCGCUAUGCUUUUUGCCAUUCACACGUUCACUAUUGUAAACAAGGGCAAAAGGUGAGCUGCAUAUUGAAUGCGUAAAAAGCAAUUGUCGGACAAAACAGCAACAAUGUCGAAAGUGGAGCGACUCAUCGAAUUAGUCGAAAAAAAUAAAAUUUUAUAUGAUUCGGCGGACGCGGACUAUAAAAACGUAACAAAAAGGAACAAGAUAUGGGACGAAAUUGGAUUGGAGCUGGAAGAAAGUGGAAAUGAAAUAAAAAAAAUAAUGGGAGAAUUUGAGAGACACUUUCGCAAAAUCUUUGAAGACCAGUUCAGGGCACGCUGGUAAAACGUUCAACAAAUUUAAGUGAAGAAAGAGAAGAAUGCGAACCAGCAGAAACUGGAGCAGUUUCGUUGGCGUUAACGGACGAGAGCAUCGAUGGGUUUAUCCCAAGGGCUACGUCCUCCGUAGAGGAUAUAACACAAUAUCUAAAGUCGCAGGGGCCAGACGACAUAAAUAUGUUGUUUUUGGCUCAUGCGCAAACAAUAAAAAAAUUUUGCCCUAGGAGACGGGCACAAAUUAAAUUUAAAAUCGCCAAAUUGAUAAUGGAGGAAGAGAUGGCGAUUCUCGAAGAAAAUAGAGGUGAAAAAAACAUCGAUGUUAUCGAUGUUGCCAAAAAUAUUUUUAACAUCGAUUGUUUUCUGGAAACAUCGAUUAUCGUCACUUGCAACCGAGAAACAGAAAGCGUGUGAACAAUAUUGGUGGUGUUGGUGGCUAACAUCUUGGAGCCUUUUGAGCACGCUACUCGGUCUAAUUCCCAAGAAAAAAACGCUUCAAUAUCGAUAUUAAUUCCUCUCAUAUGUGAAUUAAACAAAAAUAUGGUUGAUAUUAAGACAAAAAUUAAGACUACAGAGGGGAAUUCAAUUUUCGAUUUUCUCACGGCUCGUUUCGCCCAUUAUGAGGUUAGAACCGUCCCAAGAUUGGCAACUAUUCUGGAUUCAAGGUUCAAAAAAAGUGGGUUUUCUCUCUCAGUCAAAUUCAAACCAAGCUGCUAAGGCUUUAGAGAAUGAAUUGUACAACACAUUAUCCAAAACACAGCACGAUACGCCAACGCCACCAAAUCCAGAACCGGAAAAGAAGAAAUUUACGUUCCUACAGCAGUCGCUGUUAAAUCUAAGUCGACGAGGACAGAUGCUAUUAUAGCUCUAAGGCAAUAUUUGGAGGCUCCAAAUUCCCCGGAGAACGUCGCCUUGUAGAGAGAUAUGCUCAGAUUCCAUGAAAGCUUUGAAAAGCAUUGCAAAACAAUACUUUUGCGUUCCAGCAUCUUUCACGGCGUCCGAGAGGAUUUUCAGCAAAGCUGGCCAAGUCAUUAGUGAGCGCUGGAGCUCUCUUAAACCAAAAAUAGUUAAUAUGUUGUUAUUUUUGAACAAAAACAGCUUCCUUUAUGAUCUCAAUUAAAUAAGUUAAAUUUAAACGGCGAUAAUCGAUUAUAAUCGAUGUUUUCAUACCAAAACAUUGAUGUUUUCCCAGCUCUACCGACUGGUCCGCAAAAAGCGGACCCAGAACCUGAGGCAUCACUCCCAGCUACUGACCCAUCGUUCAUAUCAGUGACAACCACUAGAGAGGCUCCAAGCAAACCGAAACUAGAACCACUUGAGAAUUGCAACAGAUAAAUAAGUAAAAUUUGCUGUUUACGUUUUCAUCACUAACCAUACAAUACAUAGAUGCGUCAAGUCAUACAUCCAAAAGGUAUCAUUAAAAACAGUAUUAUUGCAGCCCCAGUCGGGCCGUGCGCUGCGAUUCGAACAUUGAAAAUUCGAAGUUCUAACGCAGCGCG
Molecule: long non-coding RNA, 1861 nt
Organism: Drosophila nasuta
Lineage: Eukaryota; Metazoa; Arthropoda; Insecta; Diptera; Drosophilidae
Exons: 4
Source: RefSeq, a predicted model, not a curated record